RNAcentral lists this ribosomal RNA (657 nucleotides) under Sordariomycetes sp. Its description in RNAcentral is "eukaryotic LSU rRNA". The stretch from base 91 to 657 matches the Rfam family "Eukaryotic large subunit ribosomal RNA", at positions 1 to 580 of the family's 3401-position model. The record is from RNAcentral. Lineage: Eukaryota; Fungi; Ascomycota; Sordariomycetes.
CUCGCUACAACUCCGAGCGUAGUAAUUCAUUAUCUCGCUAGGGAGGUUGCGGCGUGCUCCUGCCGUUAAAGACCCAUCUUUAACCAAGGUUGACCUCGGAUCAGGUAGGAAUACCCGCUGAACUUAAGCAUAUCAAUAAGCGGAGGAAAAGAAACCAACAGGGAUUGCCCUAGUAACGGCGAGUGAAGCGGCAACAGCUCAAAUUUGAAAUCUGGCUUCGGCCCGAGUUGUAAUUUGUAGAGGAUGCUUUUGGUGAGGUGCCUUCUGAGUUCCCUGGAACGGGACGCCAGAGAGGGUGAGAGCCCCGUAUAGUCGGCCACCGAUCCUUUGUAAAGCUCCUUCGACGAGUCGAGUAGUUUGGGAAUGCUGCUCAAAAUGGGAGGUAUAUCUCUUCUAAAGCUAAAUAUAGGCCAGAGACCGAUAGCGCACAAGUAGAGUGAUCGAAAGAUGAAAAGCACUUUGAAAAGAGGGUUAAAUAGCACGUGAAAUUGUUGAAAGGGAAGCGCUUGUGACCAGACUUGUGCCGGGCUGAUCAUCCAGUGUUCUCACUGGUGCACUCGACCCGGCUCAGGCCAGCGUCGGUUUUCGCGGGGGGAUAAAAGCUUCGGGAACGUGGCACCUUCGGGUGUGUUAUAGCCCGUUGCUUAAUACCUCCGU